UUCAGUAACACUUUUUUUUGUUGCUUCUAUUUGUGUGUUAUGUAGUUUGGGCGUCCAUUGUAUGGAGAUGUCUUUGGCGUGCAGCAGCAAGAUCAGUCUAACUAUGAGGAUGAGCCUAUUGAUAAGAGCAAGCACUGGGGUGAUUUGUAGGAAGAAGAAGACGGCAUGGAAUCGGUUGAUACAUUGUCAAGCACUCCAACUAGCAUAGAGGCACCGGAUGCAAUUGAAAUUCGUAAGUAGCAGAGAAGAGAAAGGAACCAGAUAUGCCUCUAUAUCAAAAAAAACUCUGAAGGUAUUUGAAGAAAAGAGAGAGUGUUGCUACUGGAACAGUGUUGGGAACCACACACACGCAUGCGUUACUAAAACUGGUACUCAAGACAAGCCGGGAGGGAAAAGGGUUGAUUUGCUUAAGAGGACAAAAAACAGAUCGUGUGGAAUAUCAGUUUUGCAGCCAGAAGAGCUGGAUGCCAUGGAGAAUGUUUUACAUGCCAAUUAAGUAGUACGAACCACUACAACAUGUGAAUUAAAAGCCAUUGAAAAACUAAUGUUGUUAACUCUACCUUUUUUGGGGGUCAAAUUGUUAACUCUACCUACAUUUUGAUUUUUGGACGGUAUGGGGAGGCAAGAGAAGAGGAGAAACUACGCAAUAAGACAAAGGAGUUCAGUGACAUGGUCGCCGAGAACUCGAAGAAAAGGAAGCGUGAUAAGGAAAGGAAGAAAAGGAAGGAUUUCAAGUUUUGAGGAAAGCUCUUGUCUAUCUGUGAAUUCUAGAUUCUGGAAUCUGGACAUGUCCUGAGGAUGUGUUUUGCUUUACUUAACACUUAACACCGAGAGAGAGGGAGACUGAGGUAGAAAAUCUUUUGAGUUUAGAAAAUCUAAAUACUAUGGAUUCUAGAUAUUCUUGUGUUACCUCAAGUCAUCACAUUCAAAGUCAAAGCCUGAAAAGAACUCAAAUAACAAGCCUUUGAAUAAGCAAACAUCGUUGCUGUUGUUA
Molecule: long non-coding RNA, 994 nt
Organism: Raphanus sativus (radish)
Lineage: Eukaryota; Viridiplantae; Streptophyta; Magnoliopsida; Brassicales; Brassicaceae
Exons: 6
Source: RefSeq, a predicted model, not a curated record